RNAcentral lists this ribosomal RNA (369 nucleotides) under Brucella melitensis. RNAcentral describes it as "partial 23S ribosomal RNA". It matches the Rfam family "Bacterial large subunit ribosomal RNA", at positions 2278 to 2647 of the family's 2925-position model. Lineage: Bacteria; Pseudomonadati; Pseudomonadota; Alphaproteobacteria; Hyphomicrobiales; Brucellaceae. The record is from RNAcentral.
GGCGGCUCCUCCUAAAGAGUACCGGAGGAGUACGAAGGUGCGCUCAGACCGGUCGGAAAUCGGUCGCAGAGUAUAAAGGCAAAAGCGCGCUUGACUGCGAGACAGACACGUCGAGCAGGUACGAAAGUAGGUCUUAGUGAUCCGGUGGUUCUGUAUGGAAGGGCCAUCGCUCAACGGAUAAAAGGUACUCCGGGGAUAACAGGCUGAUACCGCCCAAGAGUUCAUAUCGACGGCGGUGUUUGGCACCUCGAUGUCGGCUCAUCACAUCCUGGGGCUGAAGCCGGUCCCAAGGGUAUGGCUGUUCGCCAUUUAAAGUGGUACGCGAGCUGGGUUUAGAACGUCGUGAGACAGUUCGGUCCCUAUCUGCCG